This 470-nucleotide ribosomal RNA is filed under the name uncultured bacterium. RNAcentral's name for it is "bacterial SSU rRNA". It matches the Rfam family "Bacterial small subunit ribosomal RNA", at positions 355 to 817 of the family's 1533-position model. The record is from RNAcentral.
GAGGGAAUUUUGGACAAUGGGCGAAAGCCUGAUCCAGCCAUGCCGCGUGCGGGAAGAAGGCCUUCGGGUUGUAAACCGCUUUUGUCAGGGAAGAAAUCCUUUGGGUUAAUACCUCGAAGGGAUGGCGGUACCUGAAGAAUAAGCACCGGCUAACUACGUGCCAGCAGCCGCGGUAAUACGUAGGGUGCAAGCGUUAAUCGGAAUUACUGGGCGUAAAGCGUGCGCAGGCGGUUGUGCAAGACAGAUGUGAAAUCCCCGGGCUCAACCUGGGAACUGCAUUUGUGACUGCACGGCUAGAGUGCGGCAGAGGGAGAUGGAAUUCCGCGUGUAGCAGUGAAAUGCGUAGAUAUGCGGAGGAACACCGAUGGCGAAGGCAAUCUCCUGGGCCUGCACUGACGCUCAUGCACGAAAGCGUGGGGAGCAAACAGGAUUAGAUACCCUGGUAGUCCACGCCCUAAACGAUGUCAACU